This 74-nucleotide transfer RNA is filed under the name bacterium. Its description in RNAcentral is "tRNA-Arg". It matches the Rfam family "tRNA". From Rfam's summary of the family: Transfer RNA (tRNA) molecules are approximately 80 nucleotides in length. RNAcentral also lists the same sequence under 1 other name. The record is from RNAcentral.
GCGCCGGUGGCUCAAUUGGAUAGAGCACCUGACUACGGAUCAGGAGGUUACAGGUUCGAGUCCUGUCCGGCGUA